CCUACGGGUGGCAGCAGUGGGGAAUAUUGGGCAAUGGGCGCAAGCCUGACCCAGCAACGCCGCGUGAAGGAAGAAGGCUUUCGGGUUGUAAACCUCUUUUGCCGGGGAGCAGUGCCCAGCUCGUGAGCUGGGAGGGAGCGUACCCGGAGAAAAAGCAUCGGCUAACUCCGUGCCAGCAGCCGCGGUAAUACGGAGGAUGCGAGCGUUAUCCGGAUUUAUUGGGGUUAAAGGGUGCGUAGGCGGGCCUUCAGGCCGGCGGUAAAAUUGCGGGGCUCAACCCCGCCGAGCCGUCGGAACCGGGGGCCUUGAGUACCGGAGAAGUACGCGGAAUGCGUGGUGUAGCGGUGAAAUGCAUAGAUAUCACGCAGAACCCCGAUUGCGAAGGCAGCGUACCGGCCGGUCACUGACGCUGAGGCACGAAAGCGCGGGUAUCGAACAGGAUUAGAUACCCCGGUAGUC
This 459-nucleotide ribosomal RNA is filed under the name uncultured bacterium. RNAcentral describes it as "partial 16S ribosomal RNA". It matches the Rfam family "Bacterial small subunit ribosomal RNA", at positions 338 to 795 of the family's 1533-position model. The record is from RNAcentral.